This 349-nucleotide unclassified non-coding RNA is filed under the name Melitaea cinxia (Glanville fritillary). RNAcentral's name for it is "misc RNA ENSMCXG00005005840.1". The record is from RNAcentral. Lineage: Eukaryota; Metazoa; Arthropoda; Insecta; Lepidoptera; Nymphalidae.
AAAUAAUUGUGUUUGCGCGCAAACGAAAAAAAAACCGACUUCAAUUACAUCGACAAGUAAUACAACGCAGAUCGACGAAAAAAUAGUCAAGCAACUACGCGUUAUCAAAGAUUAAUCAAAAAGUAGUUAUCAGAUCUCGAUAAAAUUUAUAUGUGACCACAUGAUAAACAUCAGCUUUCGAUUAAAUUAAAAAUUAUCAAAAUCGGUACACCCAGUAAAAAGUUAUUGCGGAUUUUCGGGAGUUUCCCUCGAUUUCUCUGGGAUCCCAUCAUCCGAUCCUGGUUUCCUUAUCAUGGUACCAAACUAGGGAUAUCUCCUUUCCAACAAAAAAAGAAUUAUCAAAAUCGGU